Apis cerana (Asiatic honeybee) is the source of this 847-nucleotide long non-coding RNA. RefSeq lists it as uncharacterized. The record is from RefSeq and is a predicted model, not a curated record. NCBI's taxonomy places the organism in Eukaryota, Metazoa, Arthropoda, Insecta, Hymenoptera, Apidae.
CGAAACACUACCCGACAUCCAAAUUUUCCGCGUUACACUGUGUGAGUAGCGUUUUGCCAACUGAAGAACGAGUAAAAGCUACAAACAGUUAUAUAUACUUCGUCGCGCGUUCGUUGACUGGCGUACGGUAUUGAUCAAGCACGAACAUGUUCCAACAUGCAGGGCCAUUUAUAACUACUACCGCGCAUGUGCUUUCUUCAGUAAAUAACACGUUAGUUUUUCGUAAAUUUUUUAAGUUAAAAAUAACACAUUUGUUAUAAUUUUCUUUGUACGCUUCAAGGCAACGAUUCAUCAACUGAAGAAUACAUCUUGGACGAAAGUCAAUCGAAUGUUUGAAAUUUUGUGCUGACAUUGCAGAAAUAAACUUACAACGCUAUCUAUGAACAAAGAACAAAAUUAUGAAAUCGGUUAAAGCUCAGUUAAUUCAGAAGCAAUUCACUUUCACCCUAAACAAAAUACAAAAUAGACAUGAUAUCUUAUAAAAUAUAUUAUAUGUUCUGAAAUACCGACUUUUUGAUUAUAUUAAAAUAUUAAUAAUAUAAAAUUAUAAAAAAAUUUAUUCUAUAAUUUAUAUUUCAACUAUUUUAACUAUAAUGUUGCAAUCUCACAUAUUUUGAAUCAGUAACGUUAAAAAUAGUAAAAAUUUACUAAAAUAGUAAUUACUAGGGAAUUAUGUUUUCUAAACGUGAAACAAAAUAUCUACUAGAUGUCGAAUCAAUUAUAUAUCUAAUCUAUGACAAUAUUUGAAUCAUACAUAAGAUACUUUAAACAUAAGUUUUGCUAAUAUUAGAUAAAGAAUAUGUAUAUAUAUAUAUAUAUUUAUUAAAAAUUAUACUAUGAGCAUAAU